AAGACUAUAGACCUGCGGAGUACCUGCGGAAGGAUCAUUAACGUAUCUAUGAUGGGGUGCGGAGCGCCCUGCUCCGGUCGAACGGCCGUGCAGCGGGUGCGCCGCCCCCGUUCCACCUCACAAACCCACUGUGAACAUUCACCGGUGGAGGGGGCUCGGUCUGCGCCGUGUCCCCGAUGCCGAAUACCCAAACUCCAGUUGCAAAGAACGUCGUGCGGACUCGGUGCCGCCUAAAACAUG
RNAcentral lists this unclassified non-coding RNA (240 nucleotides) under soil metagenome. RNAcentral's name for it is "partial contains 5.8S ribosomal RNA, internal transcribed spacer 2, and large subunit ribosomal RNA". The record is from RNAcentral.